AGCGUACACGGUGGAUGCCCUGGCAGUCAGAGGCGAUGAAGGACGUGCUAAUCUGCGAUAAGCGUCGGUAAGGUGAUAUGAACCGUUAUAACCGGCGAUUUCCGAAUGGGGAAACCCAGUGUGUUUCGACACACUAUCAUUAACUGAAUCCAUAGGUUAAUGAGGCGAACCGGGGGAACUGAAACAUCUAAGUACCCCGAGGAAAAGAAAUCAACCGAGAUUCCCCCAGUAGCGGCGAGCGAACGGGGAGCAGCCCAGAGCCUGAAUCAGUGUGUGUGUUAGUGGAAGCGUCUGGAAAGGCGCGCGAUACAGGGUGACAGCCCCGUACACAAAAAUGCACAUGCUGUGAGCUCGAUGAGUAGGGCGGGACACGUGGUAUCCUGUCUGAAUAUGGGGGGACCAUCCUCCAAGGCUAAAUACUCCUGACUGACCGAUAGUGAACCAGUACCGUGAGGGAAAGGCGAAAAGAACCCCGGCGAGGGGAGUGAAAAAGAACCUGAAACCGUGUACGUACAAGCAGUGGGAGCCUCUUUAUGGGGUGACUGCGUACCUUUUGUAUAAUGGGUCAGCGACUUAUAUUCUGUAGCAAGGUUAACCGAAUAGGGGAGCCGAAGGGAAACCGAGUCUUAACUGGGCGUUAAGUUGCAGGGUAUAGACCCGAAACCCGGUGAUCUAGCCAUGGGCAGGUUGAAGGUUGGGUAACACUAACUGGAGGACCGAACCGACUAAUGUUGAAAAAUUAGCGGAUGACUUGUGGCUGGGGGUGAAAGGCCAAUCAAACCGGGAGAUAGCUGGUUCUCCCCGAAAGCUAUUUAGGUAGCGCCUCGUGAAUUCAUCUCCGGGGGUAGAGCACUGUUUCGGCAAGGGGGUCAUCCCGACUUACCAACCCGAUGCAAACUGCGAAUACCGGAGAAUGUUAUCACGGGAGACACACGGCGGGUGCUAACGUCCGUCGUGAAGAGGGAAACAACCCAGACCGCCAGCUAAGGUCCCAAAGUCAUGGUUAAGUGGGAAACGAUGUGGGAAGGCCCAGACAGCCAGGAUGUUGGCUUAGAAGCAGCCAUCAUUUAAAGAAAGCGUAAUAGCUCACUGGUCGAGUCGGCCUGCGCGGAAGAUGUAACGGGGCUAAACCAUGCACCGAAGCUGCGGCAGCGACGCUUAUGCGUUGUUGGGUAGGGGAGCGUUCUGUAAGCCUGUGAAGGUGUGCUGUGAGGCAUGCUGGAGGUAUCAGAAGUGCGAAUGCUGACAUAAGUAACGAUAAAGCGGGUGAAAAGCCCGCUCGCCGGAAGACCAAGGGUUCCUGUCCAACGUUAAUCGGGGCAGGGUGAGUCGACCCCUAAGGCGAGGCCGAAAGGCGUAGUCGAUGGGAAACAGGUUAAUAUUCCUGUACUUGGUGUUACUGCGAAGGGGGGACGGAGAAGGCUAUGUUGGCCGGGCGACGGUUGUCCCGGUUUAAGCGUGUAGGCUGGUUUUCCAGGCAAAUCCGGAAAAUCAAGGCUGAGGCGUGAUGACGAGGCACUACGGUGCUGAAGCAACAAAUGCCCUGCUUCCAGGAAAAGCCUCUAAGCAUCAGGUAACAUCAAAUCGUACCCCAAACCGACACAGGUGGUCAGGUAGAGAAUACCAAGGCGCUUGAGAGAACUCGGGUGAAGGAACUAGGCAAAAUGGUGCCGUAACUUCGGGAGAAGGCACGCUGAUAUGUAGGUGAAGUCCCUUGCGGAUGGAGCUGAAAUCAGUCGAAGAUACCAGCUGGCUGCAACUGUUUAUUAAAAACACAGCACUGUGCAAACACGAAAGUGGACGUAUACGGUGUGACGCCUGCCCGGUGCCGGAAGGUUAAUUGAUGGGGUCAGCGCAAGCGAAGCUCUUGAUCGAAGCCCCGGUAAACGGCGGCCGUAACUAUAACGGUCCUAAGGUAGCGAAAUUCCUUGUCGGGUAAGUUCCGACCUGCACGAAUGGCGUAAUGAUGGCCAGGCUGUCUCCACCCGAGACUCAGUGAAAUUGAACUCGCUGUGAAGAUGCAGUGUACCCGCGGCAAGACGGAAAGACCCCGUGAACCUUUACUAUAGCUUGACACUGAACAUUGAGCCUUGAUGUGUAGGAUAGGUGGGAGGCUUAGAAGUGUGGACGCCAGUCUGCAUGGAGCCGACCUUGAAAUACCACCCUUUAAUGUUUGAUGUUCUAACGUGGACCCGUGAUCCGGGUUGCGGACAGUGUCUGGUGGGUAGUUUGACUGGGGCGGUCUCCUCCUAAAGAGUAACGGAGGAGCACGAAGGUUGGCUAAUCCUGGUCGGACAUCAGGAGGUUAGUGCAAUGGCAUAAGCCAGCUUGACUGCGAGCGUGACGGCGCGAGCAGGUGCGAAAGCAGGUCAUAGUGAUCCGGUGGUUCUGAAUGGAAGGGCCAUCGCUCAACGGAUAAAAGGUACUCCGGGGAUAACAGGCUGAUACCGCCCAAGAGUUCAUAUCGACGGCGGUGUUUGGCACCUCGAUGUCGGCUCAUCACAUCCUGGGGCUGAAGUAGGUCCCAAGGGUAUGGCUGUUCGCCAUUUAAAGUGGUACGCGAGCUGGGUUUAGAACGUCGUGAGACAGUUCGGUCCCUAUCUGCCGUGGGCGCUGGAGAACUGAGGGGGGCUGCUCCUAGUACGAGAGGACCGGAGUGGACGCAUCACUGGUGUUCGGGUUGUCAUGCCAAUGGCACUGCCCGGUAGCUAAAUGCGGAAGAGAUAAGUGCUGAAAGCAUCUAAGCACGAAACUUGCCCCGAGAUGAGUUCUCCCUGACUCCUUGA
This 2786-nucleotide ribosomal RNA is filed under the name Escherichia coli. RNAcentral describes it as "bacterial LSU rRNA". It matches the Rfam family "Bacterial large subunit ribosomal RNA". Lineage: Bacteria; Pseudomonadati; Pseudomonadota; Gammaproteobacteria; Enterobacterales; Enterobacteriaceae. The record is from RNAcentral.